Tupaia belangeri chinensis (Chinese tree shrew) is the source of this 1137-nucleotide long non-coding RNA. RefSeq lists it as uncharacterized. The transcript is spliced from 4 exons. NCBI's taxonomy places the organism in Eukaryota, Metazoa, Chordata, Mammalia, Scandentia, Tupaiidae. The record is from RefSeq and is a predicted model, not a curated record.
UACCCGGGGCAGAUAUGUGGGUGGCGUGAGACCUCCGGAUGCCAGCCUGGCGCACCGGCUAGUAUUCUGUCUCGGGCCUGGGUCAGACGCGAUCCUGACUUCUAGGUUCCUGACUUCACUCGGCCUCAGCAGCAUCACGGCGACACUGGGGCUGUCACUUGGCCUCUCUCUGUAGAAGGUGGCCCUGGCAUGCUGACAUCUGAGAAGGACCUGCAAGGCCUCGCCUGUCUGCCUCCUUGAGGACACCAGCGCAUCCUGGUUCCUGACUUCGCUGGACCUCAGCAGCAUCACGGCGACACUGGGGCUGUCACUUGGCCUCUCUCUGUAGAAGGUGGCCCUGGCAUGCUGACAUCUGAGAAGGACCUGCAAGGCCUCGCCUGUCUGCCUCCUUGAGGACACCAGCGCAUCCUGGUUCCUGACUUCGCUGGACCUCAGCAGCAUCACGGCGACACUGGGGCUGUCACUUGGCCUCUCUCUGUAGAAGGUGGCCCUGGCAUGCUGACAUCUGAGAAGGACCUGCAAGGCCUCGCCUGUCUGCCUCCUUGAGGACACCAGCGCAUCCUGGUCGCCACUGAAAGAGUGGACUCAGGUUGAGUGAACCUCUAGACCAGGGCUCAUCACGUACUGGGGCAGAUGGAAGUGUUGGCUCCAAGUCCUGACUCCUUCCUGCAUCCAUACACUGCCAUAGUGCAUGUGGUUGGUAUGUACUUUCCCAUCCCUUGGCUCUGAGCUUGCUCAUGCAACGUGCCUGGCCCAUGGAAUGAAGCAGAAAUGAAAGUGUGCCUGUUCCGAGCCUAGGCUGGCUGAGGCUUCCUGAGCUUCUGCUGGUGAGUCCUGUGCUCCCACUUUCGCCAUGAGAAGGGCUUCUCCUGCCUCUUCAGUUGAAUGGGCACACAUGAAAGAGAGCAGCCUGGCUGUCUGGAGAUGUGCAGAGAAGCAGAGCCAGCCCAGCCAGCACAGCACUAAAGCACAACCGUAGCACCGGCAUGCGGGCCUGCAAGUCAUCGUCCCAGCCCCCUGAGCUUCAGGAUGGUAUUGCCUGUCAUGCCAGUAGCUGGCCAAUGUGUACAGCCAUUCUUUCAGUGUUUAUAGGUGCAGCUGCCACAACAGAGACCCAACACAACAGUGGGUUAAAUA